UGGUUGCAGAGUAAGGGAGGAAGUUCUCCCCUGUAUGGCUUCAGAUGAUGUCACACCUGCUGGGUAACACCCCUUCCCAGUCUGUGAACCUGAACAUGAGGCUGAGCAGAAAAUACAGAGCAAUAUCAAGCUUUUAGCAAUUCUAGAGCGGUACAGACAGCAUGCUGACAGCUCUCUGACUGCGGGGCAAAUGAUUCUUAAUGGCAGCGAUAGAAGGCCAUCUGCUGCAAAAUCCACUUCUGCAUUCUAGAUCUCUUAAGGCCCGCAUACUAAACUUGCAAAUCCCUUUAUAAACUGAUAUUGCCAUAGGAAGCAGAGGGUGAGUCCUCAUUUCACCUUGGAUGUCUGCAAGACAAUACAUUUAGGCUGGGUACUCAACAGAAUUUCUGCUGAUUGUCUCACCAGGGGACACGGCCCCAGCAUCCUUCUCCGAGCUUCCAUAAGAAAGGUUGUGCUGCUGCUAUCAAA
This is a long non-coding RNA of Hyla sarda, 468 nucleotides long. RefSeq lists it as uncharacterized. Lineage: Eukaryota; Metazoa; Chordata; Amphibia; Anura; Hylidae. The record is from RefSeq and is a predicted model, not a curated record. The transcript is spliced from 4 exons.